This 24-nucleotide non-coding RNA is filed under the name Ophiostoma ips. The record is from RNAcentral. Lineage: Eukaryota; Fungi; Ascomycota; Sordariomycetes; Ophiostomatales; Ophiostomataceae. RNAcentral also lists the same sequence under 26 other names.
GGUGAACCAGCGGAGGGAUCAUUA